GACGAACGCUGGCGGCGUGCUUAACACAUGCAAGUCGAACGGAAAGGCCCUGCUUUUGUGGGGUGCUCGAGUGGCGAACGUGAGAGUAACACGAGAGUAACCUGCCUUUGAGUUUGGGAUAACUUCAGGAAACUGGUACUAAUACCGACUAGGAGCUCCUGCUGCAUGGUGGGGGUUGGAUAUUUUCGGCGGUUGGGGAUGGACUCGCGGCUUAUCAGCUUGUUGGUGGGGUAGUGGCUUACCAAGGCUUUGACGGGUAGCCGGCCUGAGAGGGUGACCGGCCACAUUGGGACUGAGAUACGGCCCAGACUCCUACGGGAGGCAGCAGUGGGGAAUAUUGCACAAUGGGCGGAAGCCUGAUGCAGCAACGCCGCGUGCGGGAUGACGGCCUUCGGGUUGUAAACCGCUUUCGCCUGUGACGAAGCGUGAGUGACGGUAAUGGGUGAAGAAGCACCGGCUAACUACGUG
Molecule: ribosomal RNA, 468 nt
Filed under: uncultured bacterium
Lineage: Bacteria
Description: partial 16S ribosomal RNA
Rfam family: Bacterial small subunit ribosomal RNA
Source: RNAcentral